UGAUCCUGGCUCAGAUUGAACGCUGGCGGCAGGCCUAACACAUGCAAGUCGAGCGGUAGCGGGAAGAGCUUGCUCUUUGCCGACGAGCGGCGGACGGGUGCGUAACACGUAGGAAUCUGCCCGGUAGUGGGGGAUAGCCCGGAGAAAUCCGGAUUAAUACCGCAUACGCACUAGCUCUUUAAGAGCGGUGGAAAGCAGGGGAUCGGUUCGCCGACCUUGCGCUAUCGGAUGAGCCUGCGUCGGAUUAGCUUGUUGGUGGGGUAAAGGCCCACCAAGGCAACGAUCCGUAGCUGGUCUGAGAGGAUGAUCAGCCACACUGGGACUGAGACACGGCCCAGACUCCUACGGGAGGCAGCAGA
Molecule: ribosomal RNA, 359 nt
Filed under: uncultured Spongiobacter sp.
Lineage: Bacteria; Pseudomonadati; Pseudomonadota; Gammaproteobacteria
Description: bacterial SSU rRNA
Rfam family: Bacterial small subunit ribosomal RNA
Source: RNAcentral